GGGGACGACGUCAGAUCAUCAUGCCCCUUAUGACCUGGGCUACACACGUGCUACAAUGGCGUAUACAACGAGUUGCCAACCCGCGAGGGUGAGCUAAUCUCUUAAAGUACGUCUCAGUUCGGAUUGUAGUCUGCAACUCGACUACAUGAAGUCGGAAUCGCUAGUAAUCGCGGAUCAGCACGCCGCGGUGAAUACGU
Molecule: ribosomal RNA, 197 nt
Filed under: Leuconostoc mesenteroides
Lineage: Bacteria; Bacillati; Bacillota; Bacilli; Lactobacillales; Lactobacillaceae
Description: partial 16S ribosomal RNA
Rfam family: Bacterial small subunit ribosomal RNA
Source: RNAcentral